Molecule: ribosomal RNA, 253 nt
Filed under: uncultured bacterium
Lineage: Bacteria
Description: partial 16S ribosomal RNA
Rfam family: Bacterial small subunit ribosomal RNA
Source: RNAcentral
UACGAAGGGGGCUAGCGUUGUUCGGAAUUACUGGGCGUAAAGCGCACGUAGGCGGAUUGUUAAGUGAGGGGUGAAAUCCCAGGGCUCAACCCUGGAACUGCCUUUCAUACUGGCAAUCUCGAGUCCGAGAGAGGUGAGUGGAAUUCCGAGUGUAGAGGUGAAAUGCGUAGAGAUCGGGAGGAACACCCGUGGCGAAGGCGGCGCUCUGGUCGGCAUCUGACGCUGAGAGGCGAAAGCGUGGGGAGCGAACGGG